GAUGAACGCUGGCGGCGUGCUUAACACAUGCAAGUCGAACGAAGCACUUUAUUUGAUUUCCUUCGGGACUGAUUAUUUUGUGACUGAGUGGCGGACGGGUGAGUAACGCGUGGGUAACCUGCCUUGUACAGGGGGAUAACAGUUGGAAACGGCUGCUAAUACCGCAUAAGCGCACGGCAUCGCAUGAUGCAGUGUGAAAAACUCCGGUGGUAUAAGAUGGACCCGCGUUGGAUUAGCUAGUGGGUGAGGUAACGGCCCACCAAGGCGACGAUCCAUAGCCGACCUGAGAGGGUGACCGGCAACAUUGGGACUGAGACACGGCCCAAACUCCUACGGGAGGCAGCAGUGGGGAAUAUUGCACAAUGGGCGAAAGCCUGAUGCAGCGACGCCGCGUGAGCGAAGAAGUAUUUCGGUAUGUAAAGCUCUAUCAGCAGGGAAGAUAAUGACGGUACCUGACUAAGAAGCACCGGCUAAAUACGU
Molecule: ribosomal RNA, 480 nt
Filed under: uncultured bacterium
Lineage: Bacteria
Description: partial 16S ribosomal RNA
Rfam family: Bacterial small subunit ribosomal RNA
Source: RNAcentral